Panicum virgatum (switchgrass) is the source of this 633-nucleotide long non-coding RNA. RefSeq lists it as uncharacterized. The record is from RefSeq and is a predicted model, not a curated record. The transcript is spliced from 2 exons. Lineage: Eukaryota; Viridiplantae; Streptophyta; Magnoliopsida; Poales; Poaceae.
AACAGAUGCUCAGUUAAGCUAGAGCCUAGAGGCGAGCAAUUGUCCCUGGGGACAACACGUUUCAAGUUCAAGAUCCUGGAAGCUGGACUAGUUCUUCACUGAAUGUUCUUGAGGACUCUCGCGAACCCUUCCUUGUAAAAUCUCGUACAAUUACUAACCCAAGUGUCAAGGGAUACUCGGAAGAGAAUUUACUACAUCCUAUAGCUAUAAAAAGGAGCAAACAUGCUUGCACCAGAGGAGCCAAGCCCGCCUACCCAGUUGUCUGCUUUCCUGGAGAUACACAGUUGCCUGCUCUGUUAUACUCUCUGCAGGAACAUCUUCUUGGAACAUUUCAGCUUGUGUUGUCCGGCGAUCUUCGGUACAAGGAUGGGAGACUCUAAGCGUAACAAGGUGAAGAAGAGCAUCUGGCAGCUCCUCUGCGGCUGCUCAUCACCCCAGACGAAUGAUUGAUUCAGAGUCAAAUGCAAGAGAACUCGAUCAUUUGAGAUUGCAAGAUCCUUUUGUGCAGACCAAUCAAUAGUUUUUUCUUGGCAGGUACUUAGCUGUUUUAUUCAAUUUGUGUUCUGGUCUUGUUAUAUGUAUUCUUGUUGGUAAUAAUGUAAUGAGUGGGUCCUCAGCUAUUUGAUUCAAUUU